Molecule: long non-coding RNA, 909 nt
Filed under: Homo sapiens (human)
Lineage: Eukaryota; Metazoa; Chordata; Mammalia; Primates; Hominidae
Description: long intergenic non-protein coding RNA 2395
Source: RNAcentral
GUAAUGGUCGCUUAAGUGUUCACAAAUGCCUGAACACCCUGUCCUACCUGGUCCUACCUGGAUGCUGGCCUCAGUAAGCUCCUGGGCUCAUUGAAGAUGAACCUAGCAGUAGUAUUUACACCACUUGUUGUGUGCCCACUGUGGGCCCGGCGCCAUGCCGAGUGCUCUAUGGAUGUGAGUGCUGGGAGAGAAAAGCAUACGACAUAGACAGGGAGGUCAAGCUCCACCACGCAGAUGAGGUGCAGGCCACCAGUCUUCCUCUGCCACAUCUCUUUCUGAAAAGGCAGCCUGUGCUGAGAAACCAUGACUGAGUAAGCCAAGCUUUGUUGGCCGCACCUGCCAAGCCACAGGGUGCCUCAGGCUUGGAGCAUCCCGGAGCCAGUUACAACCCAAGACUUCAGCCUUCUGGAAGGUGUUGGGUCAGCCACCCUGAAGGACGAUCCUGCCCAAGUGACAUGCUUUGCUCUUCCUUCUCACCCAGGACUUCACAUUCACCCUUGCAAUCCAUGUGGGGACACUGUUGGAUAGGAGGCGUGGUCCCAGCGUGGUCUCCCUGUCUGGGCCUCUGCCUAUGCCAAAUGUUUGCCUUACGCUGCACACUCAAGAGGUUCCAUGUAUACAGAUGGGAAUUCCAGAGCUACAGAAAAGGCAGCAAGCACCAUGAUUUAAGCUAACCAGUGUGGAUUCACACCUUCCUCUCUCUCUAUCAGUGGCAGAACUACCAGCUAGAGUAAGAAGUGGUUGAUCCAGGACCUAAACAUUCUGGAAACUCUUGCCCACUUCUGGGAGAAAUGACCCAAUCCAUAGUACUAAGCACACCUUAACUUUCGUAGGACGCAGGCAAGUUGUCAUACCGUGUGCCUAAAUAUAGAAAAAUGAUCCACUGGACUAAUAAAGUGUUAAAUAAAA